AACGAACGCUGGCGGCAUGCCUAACACAUGCAAGUCGAACGAGACCUUCGGGUAUAGUGGCGCACGGGUGCGUAACGCGUGGGAACCUGCCCUUAGGUUCGGAAUAACUCCCCGAAAGGGGUGCUAAUACCGGAUAAUGUCUUCGGACCAAAGAUUUAUCGCCUUUGGAUGGGCCCGCGUUGGAUUAGCUAGUUGGUAGGGUAAAAGCCUACCAAGGCGACGAUCCAUAGCUGGUCUGAGAGGAUGAUCAGCCACACUGGGACUGAGACACGGCCCAGACUCCUACGGGAGGCAGCAGUGGGGAAUAUUGGACAAUGGGCGAAAGCCUGAUCCAGCAAGGCCGCGUGAGUGAUGAAGGCCUUAGGGUUGUAAAGCUCUUUUACCCGGGAUGAUAAUGACAGUACCGGGAGAAUAAGCGCCGGCUAACUCCGUG
RNAcentral lists this ribosomal RNA (433 nucleotides) under uncultured bacterium. Its description in RNAcentral is "partial 16S ribosomal RNA". It matches the Rfam family "Bacterial small subunit ribosomal RNA", at positions 29 to 507 of the family's 1533-position model. The record is from RNAcentral.